UAUAGGGCAGCCCCCGCCCCCAUCCCUCCGGCCGCAGAGCUCUCCCGCCGCUAGAGCAGGCUUUCCAGGUGGGACAGUCUUCUGUGACUCGCUUCGACCCCUGGGAAUUGUAGUCCAGCUCGUUCCCCUCCUCCAGUACCGCGCAAGGAACAGCGGAGUGGCGGGACUACAACUCCCAGAAUGCCACCGUCGCAAGCGGCCCGCGGAGUGAGGCCCUCUGGGAAGGGUGCGUAAAGCUGCCUAGCCGUUUGUUGUCAGACGCGCGCAAAGCGGGAAUCGACAUCUCGGGGAACCUCGCUGCGACCCGGCGAGCAACAGCGUGACAGCUCAGGGCGUCCAACCCUGCCUCUUGGAUCAGGCAGCGUGUUGGGCAGCUACGUGUCUGAGCGGCUGCCCCGUGGACACAGCUCAUUGGCGGGGCUCGCGGAUGUGGCGGGGGAGGCUGGAGGCGGCGCUGAGGGGCGUGGGGCGAAGCGGGGCUGGUGGUGGGGAGGCCCCGCUGGCUCCCCCCCCCCUUAGUGGCAGGGGAGCUCUGGGGUAACUGGGAGUGGCAGGGGGACGAGGCGGCUUCGGAGCCGCCACCGGGUGGGGCGUGGCCCAGUCAGCGCCGCCCAGGUGCUGCCUGUGGGGGUCCCCGCCAGCGGGAAUGCGGUGGAGCCGCCAGGCACGGUAUCCUGCUUGGCCAGGCCAGUGCCCGGAGCAGGACGACGUAGGGCUUGUUUCUCUUUCUUUAGCGUCUGUAGAUGUGCCCUUAAGGGUCUCAUCCUGCACACUGGCUGAACAGCUCUGUCUGAUAAGGAGAUGAACCAGGAGGAGUAAGGAAGACAUGUUCAGGGAGGUGCUGCAAUCAUCUGAUGCUGCUGAUAGCGAGCAGAGAGCAUGGAGAGAGGUUGUCAGUGAAAAACUGAGAAUGGAUAGCCAGGAGAAGAAACAGGCAGGAGCGGAAGACACAGCUGCUUGAGGACCAAACAGACAUACUGAGGUCCCUGAUUGUGCUGCAGAUCCAUGUUCGCCUCCCCUGCAGCCCAUACAGAACUGCCUUCCAUGCCUUCCCCAAACUCCCCACACACAUUCCUCAUGUGUUCCCAGGCUGUCACAUUACCCCAUGCACUCCAACCCUAGGGACAUGUUUCACGAUGACACCUGAACAUACAUCCUGUUGGAAGACCUCAUUUCAAAGAGUGCUCUUCAUUGUCAUGUCCCUGGUAGGAAAUAGAAAUGUUUGUAUAGCUGUAUACAUAAAAAUGUAUGUAUAGAAAGAAAAUGAAUUUUUAUUUGUCUCCUACAUACAAUGGUUGCUGCUGAAAUUCAUAUACAGUGGCAAUCUGUGCAUUUGCAGAGUACAAUUAACACAAACACAGCAAUCAUUACAGGGGUCAUGCUACAAUGCUAGACAGAAGUGCCUGCUCAGUGUAUUACAGAAAGGCAUAUUACUGGGGCUCUUUGUCAAAAUGUUCCUUCAAAACCUCCCUGAUAUGAAUAGUUCCCUGUUGAAGCUCCCUAACAGCCCUGCUAUCUGGCUGCUCAAAAGCAGCUGCCAGCGGAUCCAGUGUAAUGCUC
Chelonia mydas (Green sea turtle) is the source of this 1560-nucleotide long non-coding RNA. RefSeq lists it as uncharacterized. Lineage: Eukaryota; Metazoa; Chordata; Testudines; Cheloniidae. The record is from RefSeq and is a predicted model, not a curated record. The transcript has 2 exons.